UCCGUUGUAGUCUAGUUGGUUAGGAUACUCGGCUCUCACCUGAGAGACCAGGGUUCGUUCUCCGGCAACGGUG
Ipomoea nil (Japanese morning glory) is the source of this 73-nucleotide transfer RNA. It matches the Rfam family "tRNA". From Rfam's summary of the family: Transfer RNA (tRNA) molecules are approximately 80 nucleotides in length. Their secondary structure includes four short double-helical elements and three loops (D, anti-codon, and T loops). Further hydrogen bonds mediate the characteristic L-shaped molecular structure. tRNAs have two regions of fundamental functional importance: the anti-codon, which is responsible for specific mRNA codon recognition, and the 3' end, to which the tRNAs corresponding amino acid is attached (by aminoacyl-tRNA synthetases). tRNAs cope with the degeneracy of the genetic code in two manners: having more than one tRNA (with a specific anti-codon) for a particular amino acid; and 'wobble' base-pairing, i.e. permitting non-standard base-pairing at the 3rd anti-codon position. Lineage: Eukaryota; Viridiplantae; Streptophyta; Magnoliopsida; Solanales; Convolvulaceae. The record is from Rfam.